UUUGGAAGAGUAGUCAGUGCUCUUAACCACUGAGCCAUCUCCCCUAAAAAUCUUAAUGUUAUCUUAAUGAUAGCAACAACAUGCCCUCUGGAUUUAACUCAGUGGCCAAGCUUAGUGAUAGGGCUUAGCGCAUACCCAUCCAAGCCCCAGGUUUGACCUCCAGCACUAAAUCAAUAGUAAUUUAGCAACAGACAAGUAUUUGCUCUGCCUGGGACCCUUGUGAGGGUUUGUACAUAUGUCACUCUGUCUUGUAGCUCUGUGCAGUGAUGACUGCUACUCUAUUUAUAGACAUGCAAACAGCAACGGUCCUAAAGCAGAGCGGGAUGGCCUGCCCACGCCUGUAACUCUGACACACUCCAUCCCCUGAGUUCAGGUUUGGGAACACCCUGAAACACUUGAGAAGGGAACCAGUUUGCCAACCAGCCUUUCUUCUUAUUUAAAAUUUACUUGUUUUUACGUUAUGUGUGUGGGUGUUUUGUCUGCGUGUAUGUCUAGGCUCUGUGUGCAUCCCUGGCAUCUACGGAAGCCCAAGGAGGGUGACAGAUCCCUUGGGAAUGAAGUUACAGAGACCUGCCACGUGGCCGCUGGGAAUCAAACCUGCGUGCUCUGCCAGAGCAGCCGGUGCCCUGAACUGAGGAGCCACCCCCUCAGCCCCACUCUUGCUCUUCGGUUUUCUAAUGCCCUGAACUGACGAACCACCCCCUCAGCCCCACUCUUCAGUUGUCUAGGCAGGCCCUGUUAUCUGUGUGUAUGUUUGUCCUAGGCCUCAAAUUUGCUAUGACCCAAAACCCCAAAUAUCUUUGCCUCUACUUCCCCAGUGACAACUGUGGGGCACCUUUCAGCAUUGUUGUCUACAUGUCUUGUGUACAAGCAAACCUUUUGAGAAAUUCUGAUAAUCUCAUUCAAUCACUUUUUUCAUGCAUAGAGUAUCUGUAAUCUUAGCACUGACUGAAGCAGGAAAAUUGAAGGUCCAAACCUUCCUGAGUGACAUAGUGGGUUUAAGUCUGGUUUGGUGUUACAUUAGACACCAUAUCAAAGUGAAUUAUCUUCUAGAAUGUUAUCCUUUCUCAAGGAAGCACUGGUGCCAGUACCGGUAUAUACAGUUAGAACCCCAGAAGGAAGAAAUCUGAAACUGUCUGCCUCCGGUGUGUAGUCAUGGCCACCAUUUCCUGAAAGUCUGUCCUUUGUCUUUCCCCCUCUUGGAGUCAUGGUUUGUUCAUCUCUGUUCUUCCACAGGCAAUGUUCCAUUCAUAACUGUGACACACCUGACUGGUCACUAGCCCUGGUUUCCUGGUCCUGUCAUAUUGUCACACUCAUCGAUGAUGCCCUUCUGACCUUAAAGCUUUGGCUUGACUCAGCUCCCUCCCUGCACUGUUCUGGAAGGAACUGCCACCUCCUGCUGUUCUCUUCCCAGGUGCUGGGAAGGUAGACCCUCUACCAUGUGUACUCUGAGUCUACCCACCUCACCUGGCACACAGUAGGUAUCUAUUAUGUGGUGUGGGAUGAGCCCAGAGGCAAGAAGUGAUAAGUGCUUCCUAAACAACUCUGGCCACAUUCCAGCACUUUCUGGCCGUUGUCUCAUGCCAUCGUAGGUGAGCUGGUUCUUGGCCAUUGAAACAAUGAAGAAACAGGACGUGAUGUAUUGGUGUCUCUUAGGAGAAUAGGAUGAUCCGUGUGAUAACCAGAUCUGUCAACCCAUCCAAGAAAUUAAACCAAGAAUGUUCCACGCACAGAGAUCAGCUCUGGAGGCAUUUCCUUGUGUUUCCAGAGAGAGCCAGCUCAGCGUCCAAUUACUCUUGACAAAUUGCCCUGUGGAGUGAAGAACAGCAGACACAGAAGGGCAGGAAGAAGGGCGCAAACUCCGCUGUGGUCAGAGGUGGGCCGGGCAGCCACAGGAGAGGCAAGAAUUUCAUACAUACCAAGGGCCUUAAGUCAGAACUAGGAGAGUCCUAGCCUGCUGUGAGGGAAACAAGCUGAGGCAGGAGGUAACUCGUUUGGCCUCUGACCACCGGCCCCUAACCAUGCCAGUGGACGAAGAAUAGACCAAAAAGGGACCAUGUCUGUCCCAGUGCUGGGCAGAUCAUUUUUGCUUACCCCCUCCAGCUGUUGGACCUUGCUGUGGCUCUCCAACUCCGUAGCUCAUCAUCAAGCUUUUCCUUCGGGACUCUGGCCCCUUGCCAGUUUUACCAUCUCAAACAGACCAAGUACCCCCAGCCAGGGCCCUGAGUCCCCCUUAGGGCUGUCUGUGGGGAUGUACCUCAGUCACUAAAGAAGGGUGUCACUUCCUUGGGACCAAUCACUUGUUUUGUUUUGUUUUGUUAACUUGACCCAAGUUGGAACCUAAACUGAGAAAACGCCCCCAUCGGAUUCUCCCGUAGACCAGUCUGGGGUCAUUUCUUGGUUAGUGGCUGAUGUGAGAGGGACCAGCCCUCACUUGUGCAUGGUGCCACCCCUGGGCUGGUGGUCCUGGGGUUGUAAAGCAGGCUGAGAAUCCGAGGGGAAGCAAGCCAGUCAACAUCACCCCUCAUGACUUCUGUUCUAGUUUCUGCCUCCAGGUUCCUGCCUUGGCUUUCCCUGAUGUUGAACUUGUAACCUCUGACCCAAAUAAACCCUUUCCCGACCGAG
Molecule: long non-coding RNA, 2625 nt
Organism: Mastomys coucha (southern multimammate mouse)
Lineage: Eukaryota; Metazoa; Chordata; Mammalia; Rodentia; Muridae
Exons: 3
Source: RefSeq, a predicted model, not a curated record